Molecule: ribosomal RNA, 275 nt
Filed under: uncultured Spirotrichea
Lineage: Eukaryota; Ciliophora; Spirotrichea
Description: partial small subunit ribosomal RNA
Rfam family: Eukaryotic small subunit ribosomal RNA
Source: RNAcentral
GGAAGGGCGGUAUUUAUUAGAUAACAAGCCAAUAUUCCUCUGGUCUAUUGUGGUGACUCAUAAUAACUGAUCGAAUCGCAAGGCCUAUGGCCGCGGUAAGUCAUUCAAGUUUCUGCCCCAUCAGCUUUCGAUGGUAGUGUAUUGGACUACCAUGGCGUUUACGGGUAACGGAGGAUUAGGGUUCGAUUCCGGAGAGGGAGCCUGAGAAACGGCUACCACAUCUAAGGAAGGCAGCAGGCGCGUAAAUUACCCAAUCCUGACUCAGGGAGGUAGUG